GGCCGGUGAUGCAUGAUUAAUUUGUCCGUACCAUCUGAGACUCUGUCUCUGACGAAUGAAAUUCUUGAAUCUGAGGCCC
Vigna unguiculata (cowpea) is the source of this 79-nucleotide small nucleolar RNA. RefSeq annotates it as small nucleolar RNA snoR117. The record is from RefSeq and is a predicted model, not a curated record. Lineage: Eukaryota; Viridiplantae; Streptophyta; Magnoliopsida; Fabales; Fabaceae.